CGGGGAUGCCGCGUAUGGAAGUUCGUCAGAUUUGCAUCGUGGCAGACUAAGUGCUUUUCACUGGGUUCUCGAACUCAAUGCCUCCUUAAGGGUGGCAUGCCAAAGAAGGUGUUAGACCUGUAAGUCUGUAUUCGCGAAUGUGAAUCAUCGGCGAGCUUUCUUGAGUAGGGCUUUUCAGUAAUUGAAGCCUGAAGAGGUGGUAAACUCCAUCUAAAGCUAAAUAUCUCCUCGAGACCGAUAGCAAACAAGGUACCGUGAGGGAAAGUUGAAAAAGAACUCUGAAGAGAGAGUUAAGAGAACGUGAAACCGCUGCUAGUACGUAAAGCGAAUGGAC
This 334-nucleotide ribosomal RNA is filed under the name Hargeria rapax. RNAcentral's name for it is "eukaryotic LSU rRNA". It matches the Rfam family "Eukaryotic large subunit ribosomal RNA", at positions 138 to 428 of the family's 3401-position model. Lineage: Eukaryota; Metazoa; Arthropoda; Malacostraca; Tanaidacea; Leptocheliidae. The record is from RNAcentral.